UACGUAGGGGGCAAGCGUUGUCCGGAUUUAUUGGGCGUAAAGAGCGUGUAGGCGGCCUGACAGGUCAGCUGUGAAAACUCGAGGCUCAACCUCGAGACGUCGGUUGAAACCAUCUGGCUAGAGUCCGGAAGAGGAGUGUGGAAUUCCCGGUGUAGCGGUGAAAUGCGCAGAUAUCGGGAAGAACACCCGUGGCGAAGGCGGCACUCUGGGACGGUACUGACGCUGAGACGGGAAAGCGUGGGGAGCGAACAGG
RNAcentral lists this ribosomal RNA (253 nucleotides) under uncultured bacterium. RNAcentral's name for it is "partial 16S ribosomal RNA". It matches the Rfam family "Bacterial small subunit ribosomal RNA", at positions 524 to 776 of the family's 1533-position model. The record is from RNAcentral.